GAUAAUCGAAGAGGUGCAACUGACAUCACUAGCAAUUAUGAGUUAGGCAAAAUGAAGAUUAAUUGUGAAAGGGAAAGUUGCCGAAGCUUGGCCACGCUAAAGGCAUAAGCUGGGCCGUGAUUGAAUAAGUUACGGACUGUCGCGAAUACAAUUCGCGGAGCGCUAUCGACUACA
Molecule: non-coding RNA, 174 nt
Filed under: Lactobacillus kefiranofaciens
Lineage: Bacteria; Bacillati; Bacillota; Bacilli; Lactobacillales; Lactobacillaceae
Description: Lysine sequence
Rfam family: Lysine riboswitch aptamer
About the family: Riboswitches are metabolite binding domains within certain messenger RNAs that serve as precision sensors for their corresponding targets. Allosteric rearrangement of mRNA structure is mediated by ligand binding, and this results in modulation of gene expression.
Source: RNAcentral